UACGUAGGGUGCGAGCGUUAAUCGGAAUUACUGGGCGUAAAGCGUGCGCAGGCGGUCUGUUAAGACCGAUGUGAAAUCCCCGGGCUUAACCUGGGAACUGCAUUGGUGACUGGCAGGCUUUGAGUGUGGCAGAGGGAGGUAGAAUUCCACGUGUAGCAGUGAAAUGCGUAGAGAUGUGGAGGAAUACCGAUGGCGAAGGCAGCCUCCUGGACAAACACUGACGCUCAUGCACGAAAGCGUGGGGAGCAAACAGG
Molecule: ribosomal RNA, 254 nt
Filed under: uncultured bacterium
Lineage: Bacteria
Description: partial 16S ribosomal RNA
Rfam family: Bacterial small subunit ribosomal RNA
Source: RNAcentral